UUUAUCAAGUCCGUCUUUGAUGUUUCAAUGAGCGACACAAUUGACAUGGAAAUUCAUUUGAAUAUACGGUUUUAGGGUUAGCUUCCUGGUUGUGUGUAAACACAACUAAUUUUUUUAGACUAGUGCGUCUACCUUCCUUGCUGGUUGGGAGCUAAGCAGCUGACAGCCAGCCACUACUUUCCCUCAUAUUGUCAGUCUCCAUAUUUAAGCUGUCGCAUAAUAUUACUGUGAUUAAUAUAAAAGCCUUGUUGAGUUGGUCGAAAGGAAAGUGUGAAUAGACCCAACUCAACAAUUAACCCCAAUGAGUAACAUAAAAGCAGUACAAAUAAUAAUAGUGUCCACGUCAUAGGCACAUCAGACACUGUCUGCCAACAAUUGCAAUUAAUUUCAUUGUCGGUUUGCGUUGAAUGUUUGUCUACUUCCUAUUCCCAACUUCGACUUGUGUUUCCUGGCAUCCCGUCCGCUAAUAUAGUCUGGUUUAAUUGGUUUAUCAUCAUUGCGUCGCAAUGACACAGAUGCGUUAGUAAAAUUACAUGGCACAUUAGAGUGGGCAGUUAAAAACCUAACGACCUGUUGAGGUAUAUACUGUUGAGAACCGAAGUUGUAGCUUUUUAUAGCGCACUACCUGCACAUCGGCCGUUACCAUUGUUGAACAGCGCGCACGAGCAGCCACUAAAAAAGGUAGGAUGGCCGACAGCAACAAAUCGAUAUUUUGGAAGCUGCAAAUGAUGCAGAAAGGUUACUAUAUGGCCCCGGAAUUUACGGCUCGAUAUGUAGUGUUCUCAGGAUAUGAUGUCCACCGCAAGUCACCAUCGUAAAAAGACGAUCUUGGAAUUCGGCCAUAACAUUUUUAUUAUUUAAUAUUUGUUUAUGAAAGUAUUAAUAAGUACUUAGAAACAUGUACUGAACA
Drosophila biarmipes is the source of this 910-nucleotide long non-coding RNA. RefSeq lists it as uncharacterized. NCBI's taxonomy places the organism in Eukaryota, Metazoa, Arthropoda, Insecta, Diptera, Drosophilidae. The transcript is spliced from 3 exons. The record is from RefSeq and is a predicted model, not a curated record.